RNAcentral lists this ribosomal RNA (456 nucleotides) under Salmonella enterica. RNAcentral describes it as "bacterial SSU rRNA". It matches the Rfam family "Bacterial small subunit ribosomal RNA", at positions 1 to 453 of the family's 1533-position model. Lineage: Bacteria; Pseudomonadati; Pseudomonadota; Gammaproteobacteria; Enterobacterales; Enterobacteriaceae. The record is from RNAcentral. RNAcentral also lists the same sequence under 1 other name.
AAAUUGAAGAGUUUGAUCAUGGCUCAGAUUGAACGCUGGCGGCAGGCCUAACACAUGCAAGUCGAACGGUAACAGGAAGCAGCUUGCUGCUUUGCUGACGAGUGGCGGACGGGUGAGUAAUGUCUGGGAAACUGCCUGAUGGAGGGGGAUAACUACUGGAAACGGUGGCUAAUACCGCAUAACGUCGCAAGACCAAAGAGGGGGACCUUCGGGCCUCUUGCCAUCAGAUGUGCCCAGAUGGGAUUAGCUUGUUGGUGAGGUAACGGCUCACCAAGGCGACGAUCCCUAGCUGGUCUGAGAGGAUGACCAGCCACACUGGAACUGAGACACGGUCCAGACUCCUACGGGAGGCAGCAGUGGGGAAUAUUGCACAAUGGGCGCAAGCCUGAUGCAGCCAUGCCGCGUGUAUGAAGAAGGCCUUCGGGUUGUAAAGUACUUUCAGCGGGGAGGAAGGUG